AUGGCGCCUAUUCACGUCUCCUCCUCGGAGGUCAUCCUCCUGGACGACAGCGACGACGAGGAGCUGCUUGGUAUGAACAUCGCUGACGUGACCUCGCUUGACGACCUUGACUUCUCCGACGACGGCCCCGGCAACAAGAAGACAUGUGCUGUGGACAAUACCUCCUUUCAAGAUGCUGCUGUCGACGUCGACAAUUACUCCACCAAAUCCAACGGCCUUGCCUUCUUAGACCACGACGGGCACAGAUGCGAAAAGGCCGACGACGUUGUUGUUAUCUCCUCCUCCGGCGAUGAGGAGUCAGCUGCUGACAACGGCGCCACGGACUCCAAUAGUGGCAAAUUGUUUGUCUCCGUCGACUCAAAUUCAAUAAGCAAGAAGAAGCGGGGGCCAAGGCCCCAGUACAACUACUGGCCCUUCAACGACGAGUGCCAAAUAAUUGAUGUCGAUGGGAUGCUCCGAAGGAAGAAGAAAUACAAAGGCGGGGACGUACCGGUGCCGGCGCUCAUACAGAAGUUAAAAAAGGGCCCGUCACCCAUCAUCUACCGUGGUGAACUUAGUGUGUCCCGUGUUCGCGGGAAACGGAGACAUUUGACGAAUAAGUUUCGUGAGGCGGUAAAGAUGGGCGACAACUACAAACCACUCAACAUGCGUGAUCAAGACCUCUACGACCGUUCCAUUGCGGCGUGGCCACAUAUCAUUGAAGAAGAAGCUAGUACCAUGCACGAUCACGAAUAA
RNAcentral lists this ribosomal RNA (735 nucleotides) under Triticum aestivum (bread wheat). RNAcentral's name for it is "partial small subunit ribosomal RNA". Lineage: Eukaryota; Viridiplantae; Streptophyta; Magnoliopsida; Poales; Poaceae. The record is from RNAcentral.